UGAGGAAUAUUGGUCAAUGGGCGCAGGCCUGAACCAGCCAAGUCGCGUGAGGGAAGACGGUCCUACGGAUUGUAAACCUCUUUUGUCGGGGAGUAACGUGCGGGACGGGUCCCGUAUUGAGAGUACCCGAAGAAAAAGCAUCGGCUAACUCCGUGCCAGCAGCCGCGGUAAUACGGAGGAUGCGAGCGUUAUCCGGAUUUAUUGGGUUUAAAGGGAGCGCAGGCCGCCCCUUAAGCGUGUUGUGAAAUGCCGCGGCUCAACCGUGGCACUGCAGCGCGAACUGGGGGCUUGAGUGCGCGCAGCGCAGGCGGAACUCGUGGUGUAGCGGUGAAAUGCUUAGAUAUCACGAAGAACUCCGAUCGCGAAGGCAGCCUGCGGGAGCGCAACUGACGCUGAGGCUCGAAAGUGCGGGUAUCGAACAGGAUUAGAUACCCUGGUAGU
RNAcentral lists this ribosomal RNA (441 nucleotides) under uncultured Prevotella sp. Its description in RNAcentral is "bacterial SSU rRNA". It matches the Rfam family "Bacterial small subunit ribosomal RNA", at positions 355 to 794 of the family's 1533-position model. The record is from RNAcentral. Lineage: Bacteria; Pseudomonadati; Bacteroidota; Bacteroidia; Bacteroidales; Prevotellaceae.